AUGUUUCUACGGAAAAUAAGCUUCAUCUCAGUCAAUCUGUUCGUCCCAACUUUGGGCAGCAGGUGUGGGGGCGGGACCAAGGUCUGCGCCGUAAUCCAAACAGGCAGUCCCACCCAGGGCCACCCCAAGGCUAGAUGCUCCGACGCGACUCGAGCAGGCCACACUGUCUUUCGGACAAAGCGACGCGGUCCUCACAGGCGGGAAGGAGAGUGCGUCCCGGUCGGGAAGGACGCCGCCAGUGAGCUGCCUGCCCACGUGACGCCCGCGGCGACCUUGGGGGUCACCCUUGCGGACGCACCGCCCUCUCCCUCACAUCCGCCGCCGCGCCCGCCCCUCACUCUACGACCGCCAAUGGCGCGUCGCUCCGCGCCCCGCGCGACCUCGGAGCGCGCUCGUACCCGCCAAUCUCCGCCCGCCGGGCGGGCCCCACGGCGCCAUUGGCUACCACGGCCAUCUAUCAGGUCCCGUCCCUCCUACCACCCUCCGUCAGCCCCACUCCAUCCAGCUCCACUCCCCUGUCACCGCGGCACCCGCAGCACCAAGGGCGCGGCGGCCUCGCCCUUUCCCGCUAUCUCCAACCCCGGGCCGCCAAGCGCCGCGCUACCCGGCACUGGGACGGGCGCAGCGACAGCGCAAGGUUACCUGUCUCCGGCUCAGCUCCACCCGAAUGAGGCGCCGACACCCCACUCCGGGGCUCUAAACUCUCGGCCCCGCCCUGGCGUAUGGCGUCAACACGUAGCCCUCCCCUGGAGAAGAAGGCCCUCCCCUCUUACAGUGAACCGAUUCGUGACGUCACAGAGGCGCGCCGGACGUCACCGCGCCGACUACGCAGUUGCGGGAGCUUGGGCCGGCGGGAGCCCAGCUGUUUGCUCCGCCAGAGCGAUGAGUUUGAGUCUAUGGACUUCCAGCGGCUUCUACGAUCAUAAACUGUCUUGAAUGUUCUCCUGAAUAUAUUUUCCCAAGAAGAUAACUACUUAAAGACAAGGAUUUUGUCAUGUGGCACACAGCAGCAGAUAUUGGGGUGACGAGGAACAGCGAUCCAUCAAGCACGAUAGUCCCAUAGAGAACACAGAUAUCUCAAUUGGGCCAGUAUUCAGACCAAGGCUAUGCCACCCACAGGUGGGUAUGAUAUAGACUUAAAGUGACUUAUAAAAGGGAAAAGUCAAAGAGGUGUUUUUUUGUGUUUUAAAUGGGGAGUAUAGGCCGGGCGUGGUGGCUCAUACCUGUAAUCCCAGCACUUUGGGAGGCGGAGACGGGCGGAUCACCUAAGGUCGGG
RNAcentral lists this long non-coding RNA (1276 nucleotides) under Piliocolobus tephrosceles (Ugandan red Colobus). RNAcentral describes it as "lncRNA (ENSPTEG00000000026.1)". Lineage: Eukaryota; Metazoa; Chordata; Mammalia; Primates; Cercopithecidae. The record is from RNAcentral.